CGUCUCAUGGAUCUGUUUGAAGGUAAAAUAGUUUAGUACGGCGUGGUUGUUGUUGGCUUUGGGACCUUUGAUGUUGUGAGUUGUUUGGACCUGGGGUUGAUGAGUUUUGGUUGACUGGACAUGUGAACCACAAUAUGGACCAGGGAUUGGCUGUGGUUUGAUGAGGUUCAGUUUUGGUUGGUGCAUCUUAUGAACAUCGUGUACUGAUACUAAGCUACUGGCUAUGUUAUUUUGGUUGGUGCAUCUUAUCAACCUGUGGUGUAAUGAUACUGUUGGGCCUAAGUUAAUGAAAUCUUGGAGAAUUAUAUUUAUCACUCUAUUCUCCUGUAUUGGUUGACUACCAAAUUGUGCAAUGAUUUUUUUCUUUUGGAGCUACUUUUGGCUAUUGGCUGGACAGCAAAAAUACUAAAUUGUAUGAGUGGGCUGGCUUGUCUCAAGGCCCAAUAUAGUUUUUUUGAUAGAAAAAAGAUUCAUAUAUUUUUGUUGGCUAGAGAGAAGGGCUGGCCCAAUUAAUGAUAGAUUGAAUAAAUGGACUGCACAUUGCCUAAGCCCAAGAACUAACAUUAACGUGCCAUGGCCCAAAAGUAAGUGUAAAAAUGGGCUAAAUUAUUGGGCUCAGCCCAUUAAAACAACAGAUUUGGACUGAUCCUGCAUGGCAUCCACGUCAUCAUUUUUUCCACAUCAGCGCCAUGUUGGUUCAGCCACAUCGGAUCCUACGUGGCCUAGGCUCAUUAGUAAUGACCAUAAUUUUGGUCAAAUAUUUAACGACCAAAAUUUUGGUCAAGGGCGGCCAUGACAAAAAUUCCAGAAAAGGUCAUGUUUGUUCAUUCUUGAUGUCCAACUGUUGACCUUCCGAAUUUGGUCAAAAAAGGUCAAUAAACAAAAGCAAUGACGAAUUAACGACCAAAAUGGGGAGUCAUAAUUGACCAUAUUUCUUGUAGUGAAGUGUGACCUAUGGUUUAGCUUAGUGGUCGUGUCCUACACUCAGUGUGUGCUCUGAUACCAUCUUGUAGCGACCCGACCUUAAACAGUCAAGUCUCUGUGCUUUAGUGUCAUCCUUUUAUCGAUAAUGCUGAUACACACAGUACUCGAAGGAUUUGUAACAGAGUAGCAAUCACACACUUAUUACAUCGAAUGUCUCAAAAGACAACUUAUUACAAUAAUAUGGCUUAAGGCCAUCUAAUGCGAUAAUAGCUGAAGGCUUGGAAUAUAAGUGAGUCCAUCAACUCGAAUGGCAUAGCUGAGCUGCAUGGCAACGACCAAAUGAACCUUACUCCUCGUCUGAAAAGUCUGCAACAUAAUAUGUUGCAACCCGAGAAUGGUUCAGCACAUGGAAUAUGCUGGCAAUGUAACACAGCAGGACAAGAACAGAAUAAUGCUAUCACUACAUGCAUAUUUGGCUGGUGGAAAGCUCUAUGGUUAUAGUUUUGCGAAAAGCCAAUUUUUCCCUACAACAAAGGAAUAGAUUUUAAUUUAACUAUCAUGGUGGUUGAACAAAUAUCGAGAAGGUAAUCGCAACUCAAUCCCAAUUAAAGUAAUUAACAACCCAACAAUAUUAAUUAAGAGUGAUGAGAUACAUGUGAUAACCCAAGUACUAGAUACUCAAGAUUGUCCAUAACCGGGGACACGGCGAACCAUGAUUAGAUUGUACACUCUGCUUGCGCACUUUUCCCCACAAGACUCGAUCGCCUCCGUUGGAUUUCUCGCACUACAUGGUGUUUGAGAAACGGAUGACCGAGACACAGUCUUUCAGAAACAUUAACUCUCUACUCCGGGUAGACCAUACCAAACCUACAAAACCCACUACCUGUUGAUCCACCUCUUCAAGAGCUUCAUGUAACUUACUCAACUAUGCUAGAGCCCAUAAUAGCUUGUGGCUGCACACGGAAGUUUCUAGCAUGAAUCACCUCAGUUCCCUUUGAGCCUGGGUGGAGGUCCAUAGGAAGAUCACACGGAUACCCCGGGAUUUCCAAAAAAACAGACAACACUAGGUUCCCCUGGUGCCUCAAUCCACCCAGAUGUUAAUUUAAGUUGCCACCUUAAGUUGAACCAUUAAUUAAUAACCUCACAUUUGUCAUGGAUUUCACUCAAACCCAAACCACGUCUACGAGCAUAGCAUAGCAUAGCAAUAUAAGCAACGCGUAGAAGUAACUCCCAAUGGUUUGAUAGUAACAGGAUAAUAGGUUCUACCUCAACAACUACUUCCCAACCCACAAGUUAAUGACGUCCUAAUCAUGCAAUGUUUGAGGAUUGGAACUAAUGCAUAAAAACUGGGUAUGAAAAGAGUAUGAUCAAUGUGUUACUUGCCUUGCAGACGAUCCGCGAAACCUAGAGACUCAUAGUAACACGCUUCACACUCCGGGUGUUCUAUCGCAAACAAACAAUAACAUACAUAAGCAACAAGCGAAAAGAUAAACAGAUUCUAAGAUCGGAUAAGAAAUCGCGAUCGAGAAAAAUCGCAGAUAAAUCCUAUAAAAAGUAAACUGAUGAACAGUCUCACGAACGAGCGUUCGUUAGCUGUGAAUAACGGGCGAAAGCCGUUCGUUAAAACGUACGUAGAGACGAACGUCCGUUAAAUAGAAGAACCGAGAAAAACCGGCGAACGAUCUAAAAAAAAGAACUAUGGGUUUCUAAAAAAACCGAACGGUUAAAAAACGGCGGCUCGGGUCUGGUGCGGUACCUCCGGCGAGGGGCUCGGGUGAGGCUGGGUUGGGCGGCGGGGCUCGGCGGCAAAGGCAGCAGGCGCGGGCGGCGCGGGCGGCUGUGGGCGGCGCGGUCGGCGGUGGUGGUGUGGUGGUGGGGGGCCGGGUGGUACGUAUAUAAAGGGAGAGGGGGCGACUUGGAGGAGGGGGCAAGGCGCGGCGGAGGCGGAGACCAGCUCGGACUCCGGUCCGAGCUCGGCGCCGGCGGCGCUUGCGUGCGGGAAGGCGGCGGCGGCUUGGGCCGGCGGCCCAGCUGGGUUUGGCCCAGUCGGCUGGAGAUUUUUUUUUAAAACAAUUUCACCGACAUAUAUAAAAUCCUAGAAAAUAAAAUAAAAAACUAAAAAUGCCAAAACAAAUUUUUACCGUCUAAAAAAAUAUUUAGAGCGAGAUGAACAUUUUCUUGGCCCUAAAAUGCAAUUUCGAAAACAUGCAAUUUUUCUAAUGCAAAUAAAAUCCAAAUAAAAUCGAAUAAAAUCAAAAUAAAUGAUUUUAACAUUUUUCCUCCAAUAUUUCAAUUAUUUUGGAGAAGUCAUAUUGUCUCCUCUCUUUUAUUUUAAUACAAAAUAUUUUUCGGAGAGAAAAAUUAUUAAAAUCAAAUUCCUCGUUUCAUUAUUUGAUAAGAAUCAAAUAUGAAAUCCUGGAAAUCCCCAACUCUCUCCGAGGGUCCUUGAGUUGCUUAGGAUUUCAAGGAUUGCGAAAAUGAAAACGCAAUAAAAUAUGAUAUGCAUGCAUGACCUAUGAAUAACAUUCCAAAUUGAAAAUUUAGGAUGUUACAAGUAGUUUCAGUUUGCUUGCAAGGAGUAGUUUCAGUAAAGUUUCAGCAUGGUUUUAGUAUAGUCUCAGUAGCCGAAUUGCUAUUCACUUUCUGCUAUUAGUUUGCUUCCAUCUUUGUGCCCACUCUGAAGAGUAUUCGUAUAUGCUUGGAACUAAACAGAAUUAUACAAUGAACUUCUGCAGGCUGAUCUGAGUUGGACCAUCCUCUGCAGCCAACUUCUCUUUGGCAAGAGGAAGAAAGGAGAAUCGGGGUAUGGUUUCACCCCUAAAAGAUAUAUUGUUGUACCCCGAGUGAAGGGAAGGAAUUUGCUGGGUUUUGUCUCCAACCAUCGUGUCGUGAUGAUUUUGUAGGUACCCCGAGAGGCCCUUGAAUUUACCAGAAUGUCGAUUAACUUCUGUUCCGGCAAAUUCGGGUACUCCAUAUGUCCUAUUUUCAGCAAAGGUCAUGCUGAAAUUUUCUGUGAAUUUUAGCAUGACUUUGCUAAAAAUAGGACAUAUGGGGUACUCGCGACAAAUGCAUGGGCCGGGGUAUCUUAGUACUUAAUUAAGUAGGAUCAACUGCCUCUUGUGUUAUACAUAUAGAAGUGUGAUAUCAACUCCUAGUUAUUACUAAUGUCAGUUGCUCGUCAUCGAUAAACCCUAAUCUGGUAGGAUGACCUACUAAAAAAGCCCAUACCACAUAUCCUAUUUGGAUGGCCCUGCUAACCCUUGACCAUAAAUAUUUGAGAUGGAUGUAGCAGGCUUAAAGAAAGAAAUGUUUUUAGGCCAACUCCACUGGGCCUGGCUGAAAAUGCACAAGUGUGCAUGACUAACAAUAUUCUAUUGUAAAUCUAAAUAGGAAAGAGGAACCACUCAUCCUAACCAUUUGCUCUCAAAAUUACCACUUCACUUCUUACUACUGAAAAUCUUAGACCAUCUCCAUUCACCAAUUGCUCAAACCAAUUCGAAGGGCGUGUUUUCACCACACUGUGGAUUAUCUUAUUGGCCCCAAAAGAGAUGAUGUAGUUUUGAAUUAUGAACGUAGGAAAUGUCGUCAUCGGACAAUGAAAGUCUCCCCAGGGAGUGCAGCUGGUGCCACGACGAUCAAGGUAUGUGCGACAGGCCUCACCUGGACGAUGAUCGGCGCUUCAGCAUUAAGCUCGAGGAGACCUUCGAAGUUGAAACGGUACACAAGGAUGACAAGUGUUUUUUUCAUAAUUAAGCAUGACUUCAACUAUUUCAACGUGUAAUUUUCAUCUUUUACAAUUCGAGUAUAGCUUAUCACAUGCCAUGCGAGACGCUAUGUCUUGGAGAGGAUGUAUUUUGAAGACCAUGAAAAUUCGGAAACAAAGAAAAUUCACCUAAGGACUCAUCAUGAUGUGGAUUUUGAAGUAAAUCUGUAUAAUUCUGGGAGCGUAACCCAUUUUGGUUGCAAAAAUUGGGGAGCAUUUUGCAAGAUGUAUGGUUUUGAUGAGGGUAUGCUUGUCACCAUGGAUCUUGGUGAUCCUGACAUCGACCAAGACAAUAUGGACAUUUGGGUCCUUGUUGAUACGCCUCUAGUUCUACCGCUAUGUGAGUUUCUCAAACAUAGUUAAUUAUUAACUAAUUUAUAUUUUUCAUUUCAAAAUAGUUGACAUCUUAUUUCCAUUGAUAGCUUAUUUUGAUUGUUCAAAAAAUGUGCGGAACAUGGUAAACAAAACCCACUACACCAAUGGCUCCGAGUUAACUUAUCAAGAGAAAAAUCAUUUGGUCGGAUUUUGUACUGAUCUUGAGAAUUACAAUAUCUAUUGUAAAACUCCUCAACAUUAUGGUCAAUACGUGCCACUAGUGCACGUGUUGAACUACGGUAACUACCAUGGAGAUACCCUGGUAAGAUAUUUUACUAUUACGACAUCCGUGCAUCUUUUGCAUACUUCUAAAACUAGUACAUCAUUGCUAACUAUGAAGUUAUUACUAUGUUUUUCAACAGAGAAUCCUAGAGGAUUGUGUGCCUCAUUUGAUGUAUCCGAAUGGCAGCCUUCGUGUUUUGAACAUAUAUCCAGGUCAUCCUACGAAUCUCAACUGUCCAUACUGGAUUUCUCAAAAAAGUGGAGACAUGCUAAUCAGUAAAUGGAAAAAAUGUAUGGACAGUCCUAAGGAGGUUCUUGGAAGCAAAAGGAAGCGAAGCGCAAGAAUUGGAGACAGGAUGAUCUCCAUUCUCCAUAAUGGAGAGUCAGGGUCUAUAUUGUUUUAUGCUAUUUUACCUUAAAUAGGGUAUUUAGGUCCUGCCUAAUACUGAUGAUCAUGUGCUAAGAACAAUUAAGUAGGGUUGGUUUGAUGACUAUCAAGAUGAUGAUUGUAUGACUUGUUAUUAAUAACGAGUAGAAGUUGUAUGAUGAUGAUUAGUAGGACUUGUUAGGAUUAGUAUUACUUUCGACAAACUCGCUACUCGCGGUCUCGAGACUUGUAAUGUUCUAUCUUUGUUCGGUCUUUUCAAUUCGGAGACUAAUAUGAUGAAUUGUAUUCGGAGACUAAUCUUCUAUUGUAUUCUAUGAAUCUGCUGUUGCUGUGUGGUGCUGUCUAUAUUCUGUCCAGUAAUAUAUUUUGUAACCUGUGCAAAUAUCAGGAAAAAAAAAUCCCUAAUAUUCAUACUAGUGGCGCACCACCAACUAGUGCGCCAUUAGUAAGCCAAAGCACACUAGUGUCGCAUCAUCAACUAGUGCGCCAUUAGUAAGCCAGAGCACAUGGGUAAAUAUGGCCCCCUGGGAGGCAUACUAAUGGCGCACCGUGGGUAUACUAAUGGCGCACUGCGUGGUGCGCCAUUAGUAUACCAGAUACUAAUGGCGCACCCGUGGUGCGCCAUUAGUAAAAAAUUCUAAUGGCGUGAUGCUAGUGGCGCACCUGUGGUGCGCCAUUAGUAGGCAAAACAGGUGCGCCACUGGCAGGCCUUUUCCUAGUAGUGCGAGACAUGUCUUCGGUCAAUAACCAAUAGCGGAACCUGGAUGCUCAUAUUGGUUCCUAGAUAUUCUACGAAGAUCUUUAUCGGUCAAACCACAUAACGUUAUACGUUGUUCCCUUUGUCAUCGGUGUGUUACUUGCCCGAGAUUCGAUCGUCGAUAUCUCAAUACCUAGUUCAAUCUCGUUACCGGCAAGUCUCUUUACUCGUUCCGUAAUGCUACAUCCCAUAACCAACUCAUUAGCUACAUUGCUUGCAAAGCUUAUUGUGAUGUACAUUACCGAGAGGGCCCAGAGAUACCUCUCCGACAAUCAGAGUGACAAAUCCUAAUCUUGAUCCAUGCCAACUCAACAAACACCAUUGGAGACACCUAUAGAGCACCUUUAUAAUCACCCAGUUACGUUGUGAAGUUUGGUAGCACACAAAGUGUUCCUCCGGUAUUCGGGAGUUGCAUGAUCUCAUAGUCAUAGGAACAUGUAUAGGUAUGGAGAAAGCAAUAGCAACAAUAUAACGAUCAUCGUGCUAAGCUAACAGAUGGGUUAAGUCAAUCACAUCAUUCUCUAAUGAUGUGAUCCCGUUAAUCAAAUGACAACUCAUGUCUAUGGUUAGGAAACAUAACCAUCAUUGAUUCAACGAGCUAGUCAAGUAGAGGCAAACUAGUGACACUCUAUUUGUCUAUGUAUUCACACAUGUACUAAGUUUCCGGUUAAUACAAUUCUAGCAUGAAUAAUAAACAUUUAUCAUGAUAUAAGGGAAUAUAAGUAAAAUAUUUAUUAUUGCCUCUAGGGCAUAUUUCCUUCAGGUCGGGUGAGAGGGGUUUGAUCGACGUCCCCCCUCAUGUCUAAGUCUAUGAACAACAUGAAAAUUUCUAAGUGAAUGAACAACUCUGAAUUUUUUUACAUGUACUCCUACAACAUGAAAAUUUCUAAGUGAUUGCUAAACUGUUUGCUAAGGGUAGGGGCGCGGCAGCGGGGGGUAGGGCAGGGGCGCACAGAGCCGCGGCGGGGAGGCAAAGAGGCAGGGUGCGGCGAGGGCGUCGGCGUCGCCGUCGAGGAGUUCGUCGCGCCGUCGGGGAGAGCAGGAUCGAAGAACUGAAUGGAAAAUUUUCAGAAGUGCUUCUUAUAUACACGAAGCAUUUGUCCCGGUUCGUGGCACCAUUCGGGACCAAUGUCCCCUUUAGUCCCGGUUCGUGCCACCAACCGGGACCAAUGGUCUUUUUUGGUCAGCACAAAGGGCGGGAAGCAGAGACCUUUUUGGACCCGGUUGGUGGCACCAACCAGGACUAAAGGGGGGCAUUGGUCCUGGUUGGGGCCACGAACCGAGACCAAAGGGGGGCAUUGGUCCUGGUUCAUGCCACCAACCGGGACCAAAGGCGUUGUGCUGUAACUGGCGCGGUGCGGUGGGAUGUUUAGUCCCACCUCGCUUGCUGAGAGGACUUGAGAGUGGUUUAUAAGCGCUACUACGCCAACCCUCUCGAGCUCCUCUCAACUGCAGGCUUACGGGCCUAAUCUCGCACUCCUCUUCCUAUGGGCCUACUGGGCCUGUGCAGGCCUGAAUCCUGGACCAACAAGUUCAUUGGGUUUCUAGUUGUAUUCAGCUCGUGGUGGCCCAAUAGGCGGUAUUUUUUUAAUUUUUUCUAGUCUUUUUGUUUUCUUUUUUUCUUUAUUUAUUUUCUUUUGUUUCUACUUACAGCUAAAUACUUAUAGUUUUUCAGUGAUUCUUUUUUGCUUUUAGGUCACAAAAAUUAUAAACUUUCUGUUAGUGCCAUUAGUUUUCAAAUUUGAAUUCUUUUAAAUUGGUGUGAAUCACUAGUUUACGAAUAACUUUACUAUAAAAAUAGAUUUUUGAGUGAUUCUUUUUCCUACUAUUUAAUAUUACCGUGUUUUAUCAUUAUGUUCAAUUUGGUAAUUUUUAGGUUAUUUUAAAUUUCUGUUUUAAUCAAAAAUAGAUUUUUUUUAUUUUAGUUUUCUAUUAAAGUUCUUUAUGAAAAUUCUUUUUGCUAUUAAUGUUUUGAACAAAAAACGUACAAGAGGUUUAUAUAAUCUUUUUAAUUGAUCCCUUUUGCUAUUAGUUAAUUCUUGGGCUAAAUGACCGGCCCUGAAAUUGAAAAACACUACGAAUGAACUCCUAAAAGGUUGAAAGUUGGCAUGGUAUCAUCAUUUCACCCACAUAGCAUGUGCUAAAACCUUGAGGGGGUUACGGCAAAAGUUGGAUGCACUUCAUGUACAAAUUGGACAAUCUUUUUCGAAGUAUCAGGAUUUCGGACGAAAACUCGUCUUUUACAAAAGGCAUUUCAUUUCUUCACAUGUAACUGCAAUGAUAAUCAAGAUCAUAGGCAUUAUCAUAAUAGUUGUGGAAAGAAAGUCUUCACUUUUUCUUUGCUUGUGUCAUUUGAUUAUUGCACCAUAACCAUGGAUAAUCUUCAUCGUUUAACAGGGUGCUUGGGGUCAGCCUUGACUUUGAAGGGAGGAAUUUCAUGUAACUUUUCAUAAUCUUCAGACAUGUCUAUCUCGGCCCCACUCCCAUGAGGUCUCUUUUUCCUGAAAAAACUAUGUGGCGCUUUGCCUCAUCAUAUAAUGUAUUCGCUUCCUUAUCUUUUCUUUUUCUCGGUUUGGUAGACAUGUCCUUCACAUAGAAAACCUGCGCCACAUCAUUGGCUAGGACAGAUGGUUCGUAUGUGUAUCCAAGAUUGUUUAGAUCCAUUGUUGUCAUUCCGUACUAUGGGUCUACCUAUACCCCGCCUCCUGACGGAUUGACCCAUUUGCACUGAAACAAAGGGACCUUAAAAUCAUGUUCAUAGUCAAGUUCCCAUAUGUCCACUAUGUAACCAUAAUAUGUGUCCUUUCCCCUCUUGGUGCUUCAUCAAAGCAGACACCACUAUUUUGGUUGGUUCUCUUUUGAUCUUGAGGGAUCGUGUAAAAUGUAUUCUCAUUUACACUACAAAAAAAAAGA
This 9342-nucleotide long non-coding RNA is filed under the name Triticum aestivum (bread wheat). RNAcentral describes it as "long non-coding RNA (TAES_LNC005927)". The record is from RNAcentral. Lineage: Eukaryota; Viridiplantae; Streptophyta; Magnoliopsida; Poales; Poaceae.